This is a long non-coding RNA of Mytilus californianus (California mussel), 188 nucleotides long. RefSeq lists it as uncharacterized. The transcript has 3 exons. The record is from RefSeq and is a predicted model, not a curated record. NCBI's taxonomy places the organism in Eukaryota, Metazoa, Mollusca, Bivalvia, Mytilida, Mytilidae.
GUCAGCUCAUUAUUAUUCGUGGGGUAAAGGUCUGUUAAGUGAUAUCAGAUACUGUCAGUUCAUUAUUAUUCGUGGGGUAAAGGUCUGUUAAGUGAUAUCAGAUACUGUCAGUUCAUUAUUAUUCGUGGGGUAAAGGUCUGUUAAGUGAUAUCAGAUACUGUCAGUUCAUUAUUAUUCGUGGGGUAAAG